UUUUGUUCGGUCUAAUAAAAUUUGAAGGCGAAGGAGGGAGGGUAUCUGACGAUAUCUCUGUAGGAACCGAGAAAUCGCCCAUCUCGUUGUUCAGCACAAUGCCUGUGGAACGAGACAAAACCCCGCCUCCAAAGGCGUAAUUCACAGUCGUCGUCAUUGAUACCACAUUUCUAUCAUUAUCUACUAUGCAAAAAUGACUCGUGCCAUGGUCUUGAAGCUGACUCCACCUAGCAUGUAGUAUAUGGAAGGAAAGGUUGUGUUGUCCAAAAUCUUCUCUUGAAUAUUCUUUGCGAACGAGGGUGAAAGCAUAUCAGCUACUGUCUUACUUAUAUUAACAUAAUCCGGGUCUCCCAAAUCCAUCCGAAGAGCAAACAUGUGCUUUAAUGCUUCAAUGAAACGAUGUAAUCCCAACGCUCCUU
Molecule: long non-coding RNA, 419 nt
Filed under: Helianthus annuus (common sunflower)
Lineage: Eukaryota; Viridiplantae; Streptophyta; Magnoliopsida; Asterales; Asteraceae
Description: sRNA HanXRQr2_Chr12g0522151
Source: RNAcentral